This 253-nucleotide ribosomal RNA is filed under the name uncultured bacterium. Its description in RNAcentral is "partial 16S ribosomal RNA". It matches the Rfam family "Bacterial small subunit ribosomal RNA", at positions 524 to 776 of the family's 1533-position model. The record is from RNAcentral.
GACAGAGGGUGCAAACGUUGUUCGGAAUUACUGGGCGUAAAGCGCGUGUAGGCGGCCCGGAAAGUCGGAUGUGAAAGCCCUGGGCUUAACCCAGGAAGUGCAUUCGAAACUCCCGGGCUUGAGUUCUGGAGAGGAAGGCGGAAUUCCCAGUGUAGUGGUGAAAUACGUAGAGAUUGGGAAGAACACCAGUGGCGAAGGCGGCUAUCUGGACGGUUUCUGACGCUAAGACGCGAAAGCGUGGGGAGCAAACAGG